AACGAACGCUGGCGGCAUGCCUAACACAUGCAAGUCGAACGAGACCUUCGGGUCUAGUGGCGCACGGGUGCGUAACGCGUGGGAACCUGCCCUUAGGUUCGGAAUAACUCCCCGAAAGGGGUGCUAAUACCGGAUAAUGUCUUCGGCCCAAAGUUUUUUCCCCUUUGGUUGGCCCCGCGUUGGAUUAGCUAGUUGGUAGGGUAAAAGCCUACCAAGGCGACGAUCCAUAGCUGGUCUGAGAGGAUGAUCAGCCACACUGGGACUGAGACACGGCCCAGACUCCUACGGGAGGCAGCAGUGGGGAAUAUUGGACAAUGGGCGAAAGCCUGAUCCAGCAAUGCCGCGUGAGUGAUGAAGGCCUUAGGGUUGUAAAGCUCUUUUACCCGGGAUGAUAAUGACAGUACCGGGAGAAUAAGCUCCGGCUAACUCCGUG
RNAcentral lists this ribosomal RNA (433 nucleotides) under uncultured bacterium. RNAcentral describes it as "partial 16S ribosomal RNA". It matches the Rfam family "Bacterial small subunit ribosomal RNA", at positions 29 to 507 of the family's 1533-position model. The record is from RNAcentral.